RNAcentral lists this long non-coding RNA (401 nucleotides) under Ananas comosus (pineapple). RNAcentral describes it as "long non-coding RNA (ACOM_LNC000909)". Lineage: Eukaryota; Viridiplantae; Streptophyta; Magnoliopsida; Poales; Bromeliaceae. The record is from RNAcentral.
CAAACACAAUAAAUUUUAGGGCAAAAUUCAAAUACCACCCCUGUAGUUUCGCACUUUCUUACUUUAAUACUCUGUAGUUUAAAGUGUAUCAAUUUAGUACUCUAUGGUUUCAUUUUUUCUUUUUGUCAGUUCUUCCGUUAAUAUUUUGUUAAAUUAUAUAUACAAAAAACUUCAGAUAUUGCAUUUAGGUUUAUCGAAUAUUCACUUUAGUGCUCUUUAGCUUUAACUUUGUCAGUAAUUUACCGAAAAAAAUUAGUUAAAUGGAUAAUAAAAAAAAGAAAAAUGAAACCACAGUGUACUAAAUUAAUGCAUUUUAAACCACAAAAUAUUAAAGUAAAAAAGUGCGAAACCGCAUGGGUGGUAUUUGAAAUUUAAUUUUCCUAAAUUUUAUAUGGAUUUGC